RNAcentral lists this unclassified non-coding RNA (352 nucleotides) under soil metagenome. RNAcentral describes it as "partial contains 5.8S ribosomal RNA, internal transcribed spacer 2, and large subunit ribosomal RNA". The stretch from base 1 to 120 matches the Rfam family "5.8S ribosomal RNA", at positions 35 to 154 of the family's 154-position model. The record is from RNAcentral.
GAUGAAGAACGUAGUGAAAUGCGAUAAGUAAUGUGAAUUGCAGAAUUCAGUGAAUCAUCGAAUCUUUGAACGCACAUUGCGCCCGCCAGUAUUCUGGCGGGCAUGCCUGUUCGAGCGUCAUUACAACCCUCAGGCCCCCGGGCCUGGCGUUGGGGAUCGGCGGAAGCCCCCUGCGGGCACAACGCCGUCCCCCAAAUACAGUGGCGGUCCCGCCGCAGCUUCCAUUGCGUAGUAGCUAACACCUCGCAACUGGAGAGCGGCGCGGCCACGCCGUAAAACACCCAACUUCUGAAUGUUGACCUCGAAUCAGGUAGGAAUACCCGCUGAACUUAAGCAUAUCAUAAGCGGAGGA